This 74-nucleotide transfer RNA is filed under the name Patescibacteria group bacterium. RNAcentral's name for it is "tRNA-Asp". It matches the Rfam family "tRNA". From Rfam's summary of the family: Transfer RNA (tRNA) molecules are approximately 80 nucleotides in length. Their secondary structure includes four short double-helical elements and three loops (D, anti-codon, and T loops). The record is from RNAcentral.
GGGCUCGUGGUGUAGCGGUUAACAUGCUUCCCUGUCACGGAAGAGAUCGUCGGUUCGAAUCCGAUCGGGCUCGC